CCUACGGGAGGCAGCAGUGAGGAAUAUUGGUCAAUGGACGAGAGUCUGAACCAGCCAAGUAGCGUGAAGGAUGACUGCCCUAUGGGUUGUAAACUUCUUUUAUAAAGGAAUAAAACGAGGCACGUGUGCCUUUUUGCAUGUACUUUAUGAAUAAGGAUCGGCUAACUCCGUGCCAGCAGCCGCGGUAAUACGGAGGGUCCGAGCGUUAUCCGGAUUUAUUGGGUUUAAAGGGAGCGUAGAUGGGUUGUUAAGUCAGUUGUGAAAGUUUGCGGCUCAACCGUAAAAUUGCAAUUGCUACUGGCAGUCGUGAGUACAGUUGAGGUAAGCGGAAUUCGUGGUGUAGCGGUGAAAUGCUUAGAUAUCACGAAGAACCCCGAUUGCGAAGGCAGCUUACUAAACUGUGACUGACAUUGAUGCUCGAAAGUGUGGGUAUCAAACAGGAUUAGAUACCCGAGUAGUC
RNAcentral lists this ribosomal RNA (460 nucleotides) under uncultured bacterium. Its description in RNAcentral is "partial 16S ribosomal RNA". It matches the Rfam family "Bacterial small subunit ribosomal RNA", at positions 338 to 795 of the family's 1533-position model. The record is from RNAcentral.